RNAcentral lists this small RNA (127 nucleotides) under Marmota monax (woodchuck). Lineage: Eukaryota; Metazoa; Chordata; Mammalia; Rodentia; Sciuridae. The record is from RNAcentral.
ACCAGGUGCAGUGGCACGUGCCUGUAGUCCCAGCAGCUCGGGAGGCUGAGGCAGGAGGAUCACAAGUUCAGAGCCAGCCUCAGCAACUUAGUGAAGCUCUGAGCAACUCAGUGAGACCCUGUCUCUA